Chelonoidis abingdonii (Abingdon island giant tortoise) is the source of this 69-nucleotide small nucleolar RNA. Its record names the gene SNORD27. It matches the Rfam family "Small nucleolar RNA SNORD27". From Rfam's summary of the family: U27 is a member of the C/D class of snoRNA which contain the C (UGAUGA) and D (CUGA) box motifs. U27 is encoded within the U22 snoRNA host gene (UHG) in mammals and is thought to act as a 2'-O-ribose methylation guide for ribosomal RNA. NCBI's taxonomy places the organism in Eukaryota, Metazoa, Chordata, Testudines, Testudinidae. The record is from Ensembl.
GUUCAGUGAUGAAUGCAAACAGACAAGCAUAUGGCUGAGUGUCUGUGAUGCCAGCUUACUUCUGAGAAC